UAGAGCAGGUAGCCUAGUGGUUAGAGCAGGUAGCCUAGUGGUUAGAGCAGGUAGCCUAGUGGUUAGAGCAGGUUGCCUAGUGGUUAGAGCAGGUUGCCUAGUGGUUAGAGCAGGUAGCCUAGUGGUUAGAGCAGGUAGCCUAGUGGUUAGAGCAGGUUGACUAGUGGUUAGAGCAGGUAGCCUAGUGGUUAGAGCAGGUUGCCUAGGGGUUAGAGCAGGUAGCCUAGUGGUUAGAGCAGGUAGCCUAGUGGUUAGAGCAGGUAGCCUAGUGGUUAGAGCAGGUAGCCUAGUGGUUAGAGCAGGUAGCCUAGUGGUUAGAGCAGGUAGCCUAGUGGUUAGAGCAGGUAUCCUAGUGGUUAGAGUCUAGUGGUUAGAGCAGGUAGCCUAGUGGUUAGAGCAGGUAGCCUAGUGGUUAGAGCAGGUAUCCUAGUGGUUAGAGUCUAGUGGUUAGAGCAGGUAGCCUAGUGGUUAGAGCAGGUAGCCUAGUGGUUAGAGCCUAGUGGGUAGAGCAGGUAGCCUAGUGGUUAGAGACAGGUAGCCUAGUGGUUAGAGACAGGUAGCCUAGUGGUUAGAGACAGGUAGCCUAGUGGUUAGAGACAGGUAGCCUAGUGGUUAGAGACAGGUAGCCUAGUGGUUAGAGACAGGUAGCCGAGUGGUUAGAGGCAGGUAGCCUAGUGGUUAGAGGCAGGUAGCCUAGUGGUUAGAGGCAGGUAGCCUAGUGGUUAUAGGCAGGUAGCCUAGUGGUUAGAGACAGGUAGCCUAGUGGUUGGAGGCAGGUAGCCUAGUGGUUAGAGCAGGUAGCCUGGUGGUUAGAGGCAGCUAGCCUAGUGGUUAGAGCAGCUAGCCCAGUGGUUAGAGCAGGUAGCCUAGUGGUUAGAACAGGUAGCCUAUUGGUUAGAGCAGGUAGCCUAGUGGUUAGAGCAGGUAGCCUAGUGUGGUUAGAGCAGGUAGCCUAGUGGUUAGAGCAGGUAGCCUAGUGGUUAGAACAGGUAGCCUAUUGGUUAGAGCAGGUAGCCUAGUGGUUAGAGCAGGUAGCCUAGUGGUUAGAGCAGGUAGCCUAGUGGUUAGAGCAGGUAGCCUAGUGUGGUUAGAGCAGGUAGCCUAGUGGUUAGAAGCAGGUAGCCUAGUGGUUAGAGGCAGGUAGCCUAGUGGUUAGAGACAGGUAGCCUAGUGGUUAGAGACAGGUAGCCUAGUGGUUAGAGCAGGUAGCCUAGUGGUUAGAGCAGGUAGCCUAGUGGUUAGAGCAGGUAGCCUAGUGGUUAGAGCAGGUAGCCUAGUGGUUAGAGCCUAGUGGUUAGAGCAGGUAGCCUAGUGGUUAGAGCCUAGUGGUUAGAGCAGGUAGCCUAGUGGUUAGAGCCUAGUGGUUAGAGCAGGUAGCCUAGUGGUUGGAGCAGGUAGCCUAGUGGUUGGAGCAGCUAGCCUAGUGGUUAGAGCAGGUAGCCUAGUGGUUAGAGCAGCUAGCCUAGUGGUUAGAGACAGGUAGCCUAGUGGUUAGAGCAGGUAGCCUAGUGGUUAGAGCAGGUAGCCUAGUGGUUAGAGACAGGUAGCCUAGUGGUUAGAGCAGGUAGCCUAGUGGUUGGAGUAUAGUGGUUAGAGCCUAGUGGUUAGAGCAGGUAGCCUAGUGGUUGAUCAGCUAGCCUAGUUGUUAGAACCUAGUGGUUAGAGCAGGUAGCCUAGUGGUUAGAACAGGUAGCCUAUUGGUUAGAGCAGUUAGCCUAGUGGUUAGAGCAGGUAGCCUAGUGGUUAGAGCAGGUAGCCUAGUGGUUAGAGCAGGUAGCCUAGUGGUUAGAGGAGGUACAGGGUCUACAGUCAAUCACGGACUACAGGAAGAAACCCAGCCCAGUCACGGACCAGGAUGUCUUGCUCCCAGGCAGACUAAAUAACUUUUUUGCCCGCUUUGAGGACAAUACAGUGCCACUGACACGGCCUGCAACGGAAACAUGCGGUCUCUCCUUCACUGCAGCCGAAGUGAGUAAGACAUUUAAACGUGUUAACCCUCGCAAGGCUGCAGGCCCAGACGGCAUCCCCAGCCGCGCCAUCAGAGCAUGCGCAGACCAGCUGGCCGGUGUGUUUACGGACAUAUUCAAUCAAUCCCUAUACCAGUCUGCUGUUCCCACAUGCUUCAAGAGGGCCACCAUUGUUCCUGUUCCCAAGAAAGCUAAGGUAACUGAGCUAAACGACUACCGCCCCGUAGCACUCACAUCCGUCAUCAUGAAGUGCUUUGAGAGACUAGUCAAGGACCAUAUCACCUCCACCCUACCUGACACCCUUGACCCACUCCA
Molecule: long non-coding RNA, 2282 nt
Organism: Oncorhynchus tshawytscha (Chinook salmon)
Lineage: Eukaryota; Metazoa; Chordata; Actinopteri; Salmoniformes; Salmonidae
Source: Ensembl